This 45-nucleotide non-coding RNA is filed under the name Schistosoma margrebowiei. The record is from RNAcentral. Lineage: Eukaryota; Metazoa; Platyhelminthes; Trematoda; Strigeidida; Schistosomatidae.
AUUCAUCUGAUGAAUGCUAAAUCGUACGAAACGCGCGUCCUGGAU